Molecule: ribosomal RNA, 634 nt
Filed under: Cyclocephala sp. BMNH 670887
Lineage: Eukaryota; Metazoa; Arthropoda; Insecta; Coleoptera; Scarabaeidae
Description: eukaryotic LSU rRNA
Rfam family: Eukaryotic large subunit ribosomal RNA
Source: RNAcentral
GGAGUCUAGCAUGUGCGCGAGUCAUUGGGACACGUACGAAACCUAAAGGCGUAAUGAAAGUGAAGGUUCGCCUCGCGCGAACCGAGGGAGGAUGGACGAUCGUCAGUGGUCGUCCCGCACUCCCUGGGCGUCUCGUUCUCAUCGCGAGAAGAGGCGCACCAAGAGCGUACACGCUGGGACCCGAAAGAUGGUGAACUAUGCCUGGUCAGGACGAAGUCAGGGGAAACCCUGAUGGAGGUCCGUAGCGAUUCUGACGUGCAAAUCGAUCGUCGGAACUGGGUAUAGGGGCGAAAGACUAAUCGAACCAUCUAGUAGCUGGUUCCCUCCGAAGUUUCCCUCAGGAUAGCUGGCGCUCGCUUCUUGCGAGUCUCAUUCGGUAAAGCGAAUGAUUAGAGGCAUUGGGGUCGAAACGGCCUCAACCUAUUCUCAAACUUUAAAUGGGUGAGAUCUCCGGCUUGCUUGAACUGUUUUAAUGAAGCCGCGAGAUAUCGGAUCAGAGUGCCAAGUGGGCCACUUUUGGUAAGCAGAACUGGCGCUGUGGGAUGAACCAAACGCAGAGUUAAAGCGCCUAAAUCGACGCUUAUGGGAUACCAUGAAAGGCGUUGGUAACUUAAGACAGCAGGACGGUGGCCAU